AUACUCCAUUUUCUCUUCAGAUGUAUAAAUCUUUGCCUUUUACUAAAGAUUUCCGUGGAGAGGAGCAAAAGAAAAAAAGAAUUAACAUAAAACUGUAUAGUAUCUGAAACAUGAGUAGU
Molecule: small nuclear RNA, 119 nt
Organism: Lemur catta (Ring-tailed lemur)
Lineage: Eukaryota; Metazoa; Chordata; Mammalia; Primates; Lemuridae
Product: U5 spliceosomal RNA
Exons: 1
Source: RefSeq, a predicted model, not a curated record